Molecule: ribosomal RNA, 251 nt
Filed under: uncultured bacterium
Lineage: Bacteria
Description: partial 16S ribosomal RNA
Rfam family: Bacterial small subunit ribosomal RNA
Source: RNAcentral
GACAGAGGAUGCAAGCGUUAUCCGGAAUGAUUGGGCGUAAAGCGUCUGUAGGUGGCUUUUUAAGUCUGCCGUCAAAUCCCAGGGCUUAACCCUGGACAGGCGGUGGAAACUACCAAGCUGGAGUACGGUAGGGGCAGGGGGAAUUUCCGGUGGAGCGGUGAAAUGCGUAGAGAUGGAGGAAUACCGAUGGCGAAGGCAGCCCCCUGGGUCAAUACUGACGCUCAUGCACGAAAGCGUGGGGAGCAAACAGG